GUCCCCCAUGGCUCCUCAGAGACACACCCCUCUGCCUUCACUCCUCCCUUCGCUGUAAUCUCUGCCACCUCCUUCACCUCCUCCGUCAGACACAGCUCCAUUCGUGUUGACUGCCCAGAGUCCACGGAUUUGAUCUCAGGAAAAUAACCUCCACCUCCACCUCCAGGCACCCGUUUUGGGAGAUUGUCAGUGGUGGGAUCGCCCUGCGUCUCUCCAAGAGCUCCGCAAGGAAAGGUCCCCAGAUGGGAAGUCCCCCUGCAUCUCCGGGAGCUCCGCGAGGAGAAGUCCAAUCCACUGACAAAAGCAAGGACUUCUUAUACUGUGGCAGACAGGCCUCAAGGAGAACAGCUGUGCCCCCCAAUACAAAUAUAGUAUUGUUUAAGCCAUAUUGUAAUCCAUCGAUGAACCUCCUCUGGAUGUCCUAAGGGGGGGUAAACGCCGUGCCUUAUCAGAUGGAACCCUGGCUUCUCGACCCACCCCAGAGGUUCACGAAAACAGCCCCAUUCCACCAAACGGAAAAUAUUUCUAUUUCCCAUUAUAUGUCCUUCAACCGAACGUCUUUCAUAGACAUGUUGUAGCUCCAUUGGUCGCUACGCUAGCUAAUGGUGGCUGCAGGGACUAUGGACCUUUUUAUUGCACUUUAUUAUGUGCAAUGGAAAGUAAACGUAUUCACAAUUUACAUUACUGCACAACCUAUGACAACAUAAAUAACAUGCUGUAAUAACGCAAGAUUUUACCAAACAAGAUUCAAGAUUAAAGAUGAUUUAUUUAUUAAAUAAAGAAAUAUUAGGGGUGCGGGAUUAUGGCCAACAUGAUUAUCACAAUUAUUUUGAUCAAUACUGAUAUCCCGAUUAUUUACCACGAUUAUUCAUUUGAUUGACAAAUAUUUGUAUUGAACAAUCACGUUAACAUAACACUGCUUUAACAACCGUGAACCAUUGUGCUACAUUCCUGCUAAUGUACAAAUCUUUGCAGAGAUAUCACCAACUUAAAAUCAACAGGGCACAGAUUUGACAAUGUUUAAAUUGUAAAAGAUUUGUUAAACUUGAAAAUAAGGCGUUUAAAUAAAUAGGAUUACUAAAAUAAA
Long non-coding RNA from Gadus macrocephalus (Pacific cod), 1087 nucleotides. RefSeq lists it as uncharacterized. The record is from RefSeq and is a predicted model, not a curated record. The transcript is spliced from 3 exons. Lineage: Eukaryota; Metazoa; Chordata; Actinopteri; Gadiformes; Gadidae.